This 451-nucleotide ribosomal RNA is filed under the name uncultured bacterium. RNAcentral's name for it is "bacterial SSU rRNA". It matches the Rfam family "Bacterial small subunit ribosomal RNA", at positions 340 to 786 of the family's 1533-position model. The record is from RNAcentral.
UACGGAAGCAGCAGGGGGAAUAUUGCACAAUGGGCGCAAGCCUGAUGCAGCCAUGCCGCGUGUAUGAAAAAGGCCUUCGGGUUGUAAAGUACUUUCAGUCGUGAGGAAGGUGUUAAGGUUAAUAACCUUAGCAAUUGACGUUAGCGACAGAAGAAGCACCGGCUAACUCCGUGCCAGCAGCCGCGGUAAUACGGAGGGUGCGAGCGUUAAUCGGAAUUACUGGGCGUAAAGGGCACGCAGGCGGUUAAUUAAGUUGGAUGUGAAAUCCCCGGGCUUAACCUGGGAAUGGCAUUCAAGACUGGUUAGCUAGAGUCUUGUAGAGGGGGUAGAAUUCCAUGUGUAGCGGUGAAAUGCGUAGAGAUGUGGAGGAAUACCGGUGGCGAAGGCGGCCCCUGGACAAAGACUGACGCUCAUGUGCGAAAGCGUGGGGAGCAAACAGGGAUUAGAUACC